CAAAGAACUACACCUCACCUCUCUCUCUCUGAAGCAGCCCGCCUCUGUCAGUCUGAGUCUUCAGAGCAGUUUGUAGGGAGAGGGGAAGACAGCAGCCUGAGGAGGAAUAAGUCAUGCGUCCAUCCAUCUCUUUGACUCUGGAGCCUGGGUUGGAGCGAGGGGUCCCCUGGGGUCGUGACCUCUACACCUUUGUGACUUCAGCAGCAGGUCACAUGAUGAGGACUCUGCAGAAACCCAGAAAGAACCGACCAUCCAAACGGCAGGUCAACCACCGCCGCUUCCUGCACAACAUGAUUCAGAGAAAGUUUGCAGACAUAGAAGCAGCAAAUCACAGACUGGCAUCAGCUUUAAAUGAUAAUGAGAAGGAGAAAAACAUGUUGUCUCUGCCAUCACAAAAGACAGAGACUCCUGACCGGUCAGGUUUCCCCUCUGAUGAUACUUACCUCCAAGAUCACGACAAAUGCAGUCAUCACACAGGAGCAGAUGACAUGAAUAAGUUCAGGAGU
This is a long non-coding RNA of Notolabrus celidotus (New Zealand spotty), 506 nucleotides long. RefSeq lists it as uncharacterized. The transcript has 3 exons. NCBI's taxonomy places the organism in Eukaryota, Metazoa, Chordata, Actinopteri, Labriformes, Labridae. The record is from RefSeq and is a predicted model, not a curated record.